AAGGAGUCUAACAUGUAUGCGAGUAUUUGAGUGACAAACUCAGAUGCGUAAUGAAAGUAAUUUUAAUGGGAUCCUUUUUUCACUAAGGGGUGCACCAUUAACCGACCUGGAUAUUCGUUUGAAAGGUUUGAGUAAGAGCAUAUCUGUUGGGACCCGAAAGAUGGUGAACUAUGCCUGAAUAGGGUGAAGCCAGAGGAAACUCUGGUGGAGGCUCGUAGCGGUUCUGACGUGCAAAUCGAUCGUCAAAUUUGGGUAUAGGGGCGAAAGACUAAUCGAACCAUCUAGUAGCUGGUUCCCUC
This 299-nucleotide unclassified non-coding RNA is filed under the name uncultured fungus. RNAcentral describes it as "partial contains 5.8S rRNA, ITS2 and 28S rRNA". It matches the Rfam family "Eukaryotic large subunit ribosomal RNA", at positions 668 to 961 of the family's 3401-position model. The record is from RNAcentral. Lineage: Eukaryota; Fungi.